This 404-nucleotide ribosomal RNA is filed under the name Actinomycetes bacterium. RNAcentral describes it as "Actinobacteria bacterium partial 16S ribosomal RNA". It matches the Rfam family "Bacterial small subunit ribosomal RNA", at positions 355 to 776 of the family's 1533-position model. Lineage: Bacteria; Bacillati; Actinomycetota; Actinomycetes. The record is from RNAcentral.
UGGGGAAUAUUGGACAAUGGGCGCAAGCCUGAUCCAGCCAUGCCGCGUGAGUGAUGAAGGCCCUAGGGUUGUAAAGCUCUUUCACCGGUGAAGAUAAUGACGGUAACCGGAGAAGAAGCCCCGGCUAACUUCGUGCCAGCAGCCGCGGUAAUACGAAGGGGGCUAGCGUUGUUCGGAUUUACUGGGCGUAAAGCGCACGUAGGCGGACUAUUAAGUCAGGGGUGAAAUCCCGGGGCUCAACCCCGGAACUGCCUUUGAUACUGGUAGUCUUGAGUUCGAGAGGGGUGAGUGGAAUUCCGAGUGUAGAGGUGAAAUUCGUAGAUAUUCGGAAGAACACCAGUGGCGAAGGCGGCUCACUGGCUCGAUACUGACGCUGAGGUGCGAAAGCGUGGGGAGCAAACAGG